GACGAACGCUGGCGGCGUGCUUAACACAUGCAAGUCGAACGGAGUGCUCAUGACAGAGGUUUCGGCCAAUAGAUUGAGUUACUUAGUGGCGGACUGGUGAGUAACGCGUGAGGAACCUGCCUUUCAGAGGGGGACAACAAUUGGAAACGACUGCUAAUACCGCAUGACACAUCGAGGGGGCACCCCUUUGAUGUCAAAGAUUUAUCGCUGAAAGAUGGCCUCGCGUCUGAUUAGAUAGUUGGCGGGGUAACGGCCCACCAAGUCGACGAUCAGUAGCCGGACUGAGAGGUUGACCGGGCCACAUUGGGGACUGAGAUACGGGCCCAGACUCCUACGGGAGGCAGCAGUGGGGAAUAUUGGGCAAUGGGACGCAAGUCUGACCCAGCAACGCCGCGUGAAGGAAGAAGGCUUUCGGG
Molecule: ribosomal RNA, 416 nt
Filed under: uncultured bacterium
Lineage: Bacteria
Description: bacterial SSU rRNA
Rfam family: Bacterial small subunit ribosomal RNA
Source: RNAcentral